UACGUAGGGGGCUAGCGUUAUCCGGAAUUACUGGGCGUAAAGGGUGCGUAGGCGGUCUUUCAAGCCAGAAGUGAAAGGCUACGGCUCAACCGUAGUAAGCUUUUGGAACUGUAAGACUUGAGUGCAGGAGAGGAGAGUGGAAUUCCUAGUGUAGCGGUGAAAUACGUAGAUAUUAGGAGGAACACCAGUAGCGAAGGCGGCUCUCUGGACUGUAACUGACGCUGAGGCACGAAAGCGUGGGGAGCAAACAGGAUUAGAUACCCCGGUAGUCCCUGAGCGGG
Molecule: ribosomal RNA, 281 nt
Filed under: uncultured prokaryote
Description: partial 16S ribosomal RNA
Rfam family: Bacterial small subunit ribosomal RNA
Source: RNAcentral